CAGCCGCCGCGGGAAUACGUAGGUGGCAAGCGUUAUCCGGAAUUAUUGGGCGUAAAGCGCGCGUAGGCGGUUUCUUAAGUCUGAUGUGAAAGCCCACGGCUCAACCGUGGAGGGUCAUUGGAAACUGGGAAACUUGAGUGCAGAAGAGGAAAGUGGAAUUCCAUGUGUAGCGGUGAAAUGCGCAGAGAUAUGGAGGAACACCAGUGGCGAAGGCGACUUUCUGGUCUGUAACUGACGCUGAUGUGCGAAAGCGUGGGGAUCAAACAGGAUUAGAUACCCCAGUAGUCCCUGUCUCUUAUAC
This 301-nucleotide ribosomal RNA is filed under the name uncultured bacterium. RNAcentral describes it as "partial 16S ribosomal RNA". It matches the Rfam family "Bacterial small subunit ribosomal RNA", at positions 509 to 807 of the family's 1533-position model. The record is from RNAcentral.